GUUAAAAAGCUCGUAGUUGGAUUCCUGUAUGGAAGGAGUGCCCCUAUCCUUUGGAUGGGGGUUGCUGCCUUCUUUGCAUCUUCCGGAGUAGGUGUUCCUCACUUAACUGUGAGGACAUUCGCGCUCUGGACAUUUACUUUGAGGAAAAGAGAGUGCUUCAAGCAGGCAACCGCCUGAAUACGUUAGCAUGGAAUAAUAGCAUCGGAUCAUCGUACAGCUGCUGGUGUCUGGGCGAGGAUAAAGGUGAACAGGGAUUGUUGGGGGCAUUCGUAUUUAACUGUCAGAGGUGAAAUUCUUGGAUUUGUUGAAGACGAGCUACUGCGAAAGCAUUUGCCAAAGAUGUUCUCAUUGAUCAAGAACGAAAGUUAGGUGAUCGAAGACGAUCAGAUACCGUCCUAGUCUUAACCAUAAACUAUGCCAACUGGAGAUGGGGCGUGUUUCUUCUACUACUCUUCCCUGCCAUCUUGAGAGAAAUCAAAGUCUUUGAGUUCCGGGGGGAGUAUGGUCGCAAGGCUGAAACUUUAAAGGA
Molecule: ribosomal RNA, 529 nt
Filed under: uncultured eukaryote
Lineage: Eukaryota
Description: bacterial SSU rRNA
Rfam family: Eukaryotic small subunit ribosomal RNA
Source: RNAcentral